Molecule: unclassified non-coding RNA, 267 nt
Filed under: Hevea brasiliensis (rubber tree)
Lineage: Eukaryota; Viridiplantae; Streptophyta; Magnoliopsida; Malpighiales; Euphorbiaceae
Source: RNAcentral
GGCGUCUAAACUCCUAUUCUUCAUGUACUCAUACACAAGUAGUCGUUGGGGCCCAUCCGAGCAACACCCAAGAAGUCGAACCAAGUUCUUGUGUUGGAUGCUUGUGAUCAUCCUCACCUCUGAAAGAAAUUCUGAUUCCGAGACAACUUUUUAACUGCCACCAUUCUGCCAUCAGCUAACUUUCCCCGAUAGACGGGUCCAAAUCCACCUCUUCCAAGAAGAUUACUAGGAUGAAAAUUUUUAGUUGCCUUCUUCAAUGUAUUGAAG